AUUGAACGCUGGCGGCAGGCCUAACACAUGCAAGUCGAGCGGAUGAAGGGAGCUUGCUCCUGGAUUCAGCGGCGGACGGGUGAGUAAUGCCUAGGAAUCUGCCUGGUAGUGGGGGAUAACGUCCGGAAACGGGCGCUAAUACCGCAUACGUCCUGCGGGAGAAAGUGGGGGAUCUUCGGACCUCACGCUAUCAGAUGAGCCUAGGUCGGAUUAGCUAGUUGGUGGGGUAAAGGCCUACCAAGGCGACGAUCCGUAACUGGUCUGAGAGGAUGAUCAGUCACACUGGAACGGAGCCACGGUCCAUGCUCCUACGGGAGGCAGCAGUGGGGAAUAUUGGACAAUAGGCGAAAGCCUGAUCCAGCCAUGCCGCGUGUGUGAAGAAGGUCUUCGGAUUGUAAAGCACUUUAAGUUGGGAGGAAGGGCAGUAAGUUAAUACCUUGCUGUUUUGACGUUACCAACAGAAUAAGCACCGGCUAACUUCGUG
Molecule: ribosomal RNA, 484 nt
Filed under: uncultured bacterium
Lineage: Bacteria
Description: partial 16S ribosomal RNA
Rfam family: Bacterial small subunit ribosomal RNA
Source: RNAcentral